This 497-nucleotide ribosomal RNA is filed under the name uncultured bacterium. RNAcentral describes it as "partial 16S ribosomal RNA". It matches the Rfam family "Bacterial small subunit ribosomal RNA", at positions 28 to 507 of the family's 1533-position model. The record is from RNAcentral.
GAUGAACGCUGGCGGCGUGCCUAAUACAUGCAAGUCGAGCGAACAGACGAGGAGCUUGCUCCUCUGACGUUAGCGGCGGACGGGUGAGUAACACGUGGAUAACCUACCUAUAAGACUGGGAUAACUUCGGGAAACCGGAGCUAAUACCGGAUAAUAUAUUGAACCGCAUGGUUCAAUAGUGAAAGACGGUUUUGCUGUCACUUAUAGAUGGAUCCGCGCCGCAUUAGCUAGUUGGUAAGGUAACGGCUUACCAAGGCAACGAUGCGUAGCCGACCUGAGAGGGUGAUCGGCCACACUGGAACUGAGACACGGUCCAGACUCCUACGGGAGGCAGCAGUAGGGAAUCGUCCGCAAUGGGCGAAAGCCUGACGGAGCAACGCCGCGUGAAUGAUGAAGGUCUUCGGAUCGUAAAACUCUGUUAUUAGGGAAGAACAAAUGUGUAAGUAACUAUGCACGUCUUGACGGUACCUAAUCAGAAAGCCACGGCUAACUACGUG